AACGAACGCUGGCGGCAGGCCUAACACAUGCAAGUCGAGCGAGAUCUUCGGGUCUAGCGGCGGACGGGUGAGUAACGCGUGGGAAUAUGCCCUUCUCUGCGGAAUAUCCUCGGGAAACUGAGCGUAAUACCGCAUACGCCCUUUGGGGGAAAGAUUUAUCGGAGAAGGAUUAGCCCGCGUUGGAUUAGGUAGUUGGUGGGGUAACGGCCUACCAAGCCGACGAUCCAUAGCUGGUUUGAGAGGAUGAUCAGCCACACUGGGACUGAGACACGGCCCAGACUCCUACGGGAGGCAGCAGUGGGGAAUCUUAGACAAUGGGGGCAACCCUGAUCUAGCCAUGCCGCGUGAGUGAUGAAGGCCUUAGGGUUGUAAAGCUCUUUCAGCUGGGAAGAUAAUGACGGUACCAGCAGAAGAAGCCCCGGCUAACUCCGUG
This 433-nucleotide ribosomal RNA is filed under the name uncultured bacterium. Its description in RNAcentral is "partial 16S ribosomal RNA". It matches the Rfam family "Bacterial small subunit ribosomal RNA", at positions 29 to 507 of the family's 1533-position model. The record is from RNAcentral.